UGUGUUGUAGCUCAGUGGCAGAGCGCUUGCCUCACAUGUGUGAGGCGCUGGGUUCCAUCCUCAGCAUCGCAU
Non-coding RNA from Ictidomys tridecemlineatus (thirteen-lined ground squirrel), 72 nucleotides. The record is from Rfam. NCBI's taxonomy places the organism in Eukaryota, Metazoa, Chordata, Mammalia, Rodentia, Sciuridae.